GAAAUAUUUUGAGAAAGUUCUUCGUUUGGCCAUCAAAGGGCUUGGGACCGAUGAAGAGGCUUUGACUAGAGUGGUAGUAACGCGAGCUGAGGUCGACAUGAAACGCAUUGUUGAAGAGUAUUAUCGGAGAAGCAGUGUUCCUUUGGACCAGGCGAUAAAAGGCGAUACCUCUGGGGAUUAUGAAGGGAUGCUUCUUGCUUUGAUU
This 205-nucleotide unclassified non-coding RNA is filed under the name Hevea brasiliensis (rubber tree). Lineage: Eukaryota; Viridiplantae; Streptophyta; Magnoliopsida; Malpighiales; Euphorbiaceae. The record is from RNAcentral.